Molecule: small nuclear RNA, 104 nt
Organism: Prolemur simus (greater bamboo lemur)
Lineage: Eukaryota; Metazoa; Chordata; Mammalia; Primates; Lemuridae
Source: Ensembl
AUGCUUUCUUCGGCAGUACCUAUACUAAAACUUAAAUGAUACAGAGAUUAGCACAGCCCCUGUGCAAGAAUGACACACAAAUUCAUGAAGUGUUACAUAUUCAU